UACGUAGGGGGCAAGCGUUAAUCGGAAUUACUGGGCGUAAAGCGUGCGCAGGCGGUUAUUUAAGACAGGUGUGAAAUCCCCGGGCUUAACCUGGGAACUGCAUUUGUGACUGCAUAGCUAGAGGACGGUAGAGGGGGAUGGAAUUCCGCGUGUAGCAGUGAAAUGCGUAGAUAUGCGGAGAAACACCGAUGGCGAAGGCAGCCCCCUGGGCCAAUACUGACGCUCAUGCACGAAAGCGUGGGGAGCAAACAGG
RNAcentral lists this ribosomal RNA (253 nucleotides) under uncultured bacterium. RNAcentral describes it as "partial 16S ribosomal RNA". It matches the Rfam family "Bacterial small subunit ribosomal RNA", at positions 524 to 776 of the family's 1533-position model. The record is from RNAcentral.